CCUACGGGAGGCUGCAGUGAGGAAUAUUGGUCAAUGACCGGAAGGCUGAACCAGCCAAGCCGCGUGAAGGACGAAGGUGCCAAGCAUUGUAAACUUCUUUUGUCAAGGGACAAAAUCAGGCUCGAGAGCCUGACCGAGGGUACUUGAAGAAAAAGCAUCGGCUAACCCCGUGCCAGCAGCCGCGGUAAUACGGAGGAUGCGCGCGUUAUCCGGAUUUAUGGGGUUUAAAGGGUGCGUAGGCGGACUGUUAAGUCAGCGGUAAAACCCCGGGGCUCAACCCCGACGAGCCGUUGAAACUGGCUGUCUUGAGAUGUCGAGAGGUAUGCGGAAUGCGCAGUGUAGCGGUGAAAUGCUUAGAUAUCACGCAGAACCCCGAUUGCGAAGGCAGCCUGCCAAGCCAUGACUGACGCUGAUGCACGAAAGCGUGGGGAUCAAACAGGAUUAGAUACCCGUGUAGUC
Molecule: ribosomal RNA, 459 nt
Filed under: uncultured bacterium
Lineage: Bacteria
Description: partial 16S ribosomal RNA
Rfam family: Bacterial small subunit ribosomal RNA
Source: RNAcentral